RNAcentral lists this unclassified non-coding RNA (3724 nucleotides) under Monomorium pharaonis (pharaoh ant). Its description in RNAcentral is "voltage-gated potassium channel subunit beta-2, transcript variant X3". The record is from RNAcentral. Lineage: Eukaryota; Metazoa; Arthropoda; Insecta; Hymenoptera; Formicidae.
UCUCUCUCUCUCUCUCUUUCUUGCGCCCUCUUUCUUUCUCUUAUUUUUUCUCUUGUCUUCUAAUUCUUAUUUUUAUUGUCAGCUUUCUUUUUUCUUUUUUCCUUCUCUUUGCUUAUUUCUUUCUUAAAGUACGAUCACUGUGCUUACGGCCAUUAUUGCGUGCGCUAAGAAUCAACAACUUACGAUUAGCCACAGUAACGAGCUAUGGAUCUCAUGUCGAAAGUUCACCCAGGGAUGUAGACAAAUCGUCACCUCUGAGUAAUUCGGUAACCGCAGCGAGCCGCAGAUCUCGAGAGAGAUCGUUGAAGGGCAUUCUGCGACUGUGUCUAAUUGUAUAGGAAUGCGCGAAAAAGACUGCCUGUUCCGUUUAGCAUUAUUCGUAGACUUCAGCAUCGGUGUGUGACCGCAAGAAUGUGUUUUUACAUGUGUGAAACGUCACUUGAUUUAACCGCCGAUCGUGAAUUCGGCGCUAAGCAUCGCAUCCGCUUAGACGCGACGGUAUGUGGCGACCUCUCCAUACUGAUGGAAAUUUAUUUACUGUUAAUAUAUAGAGUUGCAUAAAAACACUGGAAAAAUUUAUUACCAUUUCAAUUUUUUCAUCUCUGUUAAGAUUCUCGAUGACAUAUACCCGAAACAGGAGAAAUUCUUUUAUUUCGAUCAUGUCUUUCUACAUUGUGAAACAUAAUUGAUGUAUAGCGAAACGCAUAAAUGCAGACACAGACACAUACAGUACACAUAAUUAUAUUUGACACACACACACAUACACACACACGUGCGCGCACGCGCGCACACGCACGCACGCACGCGCGCACAUAAAAUCGAGCUGAUAAAAACUGUGCGCGAAAUAUUUCUGCGACACACAAAUCUGUGACUGUAAAUGUGUCUAGAUAAAACGUAACUUAACAUUUAAUAAAGUACUGUAAUAAGUUAUUAAAAUAAUACAUAAUCAGUAAAUCGAUAUUCCUAUCUUGUUUCUAUAAAUAUACAAAAAAAUGAAGAGUAAAUCUUGUUCAAUAAAUAUAUUUUAUAUCUAAACAAUCUAUCUAAAAAAACUAUGAAAAAGUGCUUUGAAUUUAUGCAAGAAUUAAUAAUGCAAAAAAACAAUUUUUUAGAUGUCGUUUAUUUGUGAUGUGAAACUUUUGAUCGACUGAUCCUUGGAAUCGAACAAUAAUUAAAUCGAUCAUAUUUAUAAGGUGAUAUUUCUUUAACAUCAGGAAUUAUACAGUAACGGUCAAAAGUACAUUAUCCUUACGUGUGUUUUGAGAAUAACUUUCAUUUACGUAAAUCAAGUAAAUUUAACCCUUUUUACAAUACAUAUUUUGUUAAAUCUUAUAACACAUUAUAUGUAAAAUGUAUCUAAUAUCAGGUAUUUAUUGUUAAAUUUGAUUUACUUAAAUAAAAGUCAUGCUAAAAAAACUUAAAGGUGAUAUACUUUUGGUACUGUACAUAUACAAUACUUUACAUUUGUAUGAUUAAGGUAACCUAACACGAUUUUAUUUUUUGUAUAUACUUACGUUUUUAGUGUACUACAAUAUUCUUACGUCUACAUAGAAAAUUGGACAAAACAGAAUGCCGUAAUAUUUAAAAUACAUCGGUGAGAGAGAUAAGUUAAUUUAUUGGCAUCCGAAACGCUUGUGGAAAUACAUUUUUACAUACUAUAAUGCAGUUAUACGUAAGAGAUAAACAUACAGAACUUGGAAUAUAUAGAUGAAAUACAAUUCUUCGAUUAAUUUUGCUAAAUAUUUCGAAAUUUUUAAGCGAUUCACAAAAAUUUGGGCACCAAGAAUACGUCUGUUAAUCUCGAUUUGCUAUUUUAAUUCUAUAACAACUCGUAAACAUUGACGAGCAUGGAACUGACAUCUUUUUCGACAUUUACGAAGGUAUUAAUUUAAAGGAUAAAAAUAAAUAAUGUGAGAUUUAUAUUACGUAUGUCGGAUUAUCGUAUCAGUGGUUUUUUUCUUGUGAUGAUGUAUCCUCUUUGGAAGUUCCAUCGUCGGCAUAAAAUUGAAUAUAGGAUGACGCAAAUCAAGAAUGCUUUGGUCAUCUUAAUAAAUAUCGGACGCAAUUUUAUUUAAAGUUCACGCAAAUAUAUAUGUUUUCCCCGCUCGUCCACACCGAGAAUUUCUGAAAAUUCAGACCUUGGCACUGAUUCAACGACCGAGUUAACAAGCGUCUGGCUUCCCAUCUUGCAGAACCCGCAAUGUAUGAGAAGAUACGAGUUAGUCGAGACGUUGAUAACGCGUCGAUUGCAUAAAUUCUUCAUUAUUUCAACUGUUUUACGUCUAAAGGAUCUGUUUGACACUUGCAGUUAUCAUCUCUAUAGAUAUUCAAGUUCGGACAACAACAUUAACUCUAGAAUGUCAUACCGGAAUAGUUUUGUACCCCAGCGCGCAUUGUAAUUUAUCUCCUAAUUUAGCAGAUGAAAGGAUCGACUCGAGACAUCGACCAUAAUACAAUUUAAAGUCUUAGAAAUGGAGAGGGACAUUAGCUGGCGUCAGAACGUUAUUAGCUUCCUAGCAAUACAGAUAUAGUAGGAUGUACAGUGGAAGUGGAAUACGUUUAUACACCAGUCUGAUGUUUAUGUAUACAUUUUGUUCGGAUACUACCAUACGAAACAUUGUUUUUUCCAUUAAUAAAGAAUGAACUGAACAUCGCGAUAGACAGACGGGCGCUAGCUAUAGAAAGAGGGGUAUACUACGGCUACAUUUGCGCAAACUGCAACGUUCCUGCGUGUGAAGACCAUAGGACCAUACAGUGUGGCAAGUGUCGUUUGGAGUAUGAAAAUAUUUGAAAAUAAUUUCUUUUUACUUUAAUAAUGUAUUCUGUAUUAAAAAAUAAACAUUUUUUAAACAAUUUUAUAUACCAAAAUUUAUAUAAAAAUGGAUUGUGUCCUUAUUUAUUUUUUCCUUUUUCUUAAGCUAUCGUUUUCUGCAACUUUGAUUUGUCAAAAUAAAUAUACUUUUUAAACAAUAUCUAAAAUUUAUUUUAUCCCAGAUCUAUCUUUUACCUUUCUAAAACUAUUUAUUUUAAUCUAUUAAAAAUUAAUGAAAGUACGAUAGAUUAAAAAAACUCAUUUUUGCAAUUUUUUUCAAACUUUAUUUUAUUUAAAUUAAUUUUUAACGUAUUUAAUGUUAUUUAAUAUUAUUAUAGAUUAUAUCAUCAGCUUUGUCGUGAAAAAACCGAAGAGAUUCAUGUGAUACAAUAUUGAUUUCAGUCCAUCUGUUCAAUGCAGAACACUUGAGAAGGAGUAUAUUUAUUACUCAGUAUGACGUUUAAAAUUGCAGCUUUAAAUAAAAAUUGAAUAUAAUCGUUCUAACACAUAUAUAUGUAUAUAUAUAACAUUAAGUAAUAAUAAAUAAUAAAGCAAAAUUAGUAUUGUAUUAUUAUUUUUAGUACGGCAAUAUAUCUAUAUGUGCUACUUUGCUAGUGACAUUGCUCAGUAGGAUUUCUUUUAGCAUAAUUGUUUAGAACAUUUUACGCUUAUAGUCUACAGAUGUGAAGAUGUGCUUGUCGCGACGUUUUAGUUUUCUUAUUUCUUUUAUCUUCUAUUUUUUUACAUCAUAAAAUAGUCAAUAUAGGUUCUUAUUUUACAAUAUUAUAAUGUAGAAUUUGAAUAAAGUCAUUUUCAGUCAAAGAGAACAAAAUCGCCACGAGCAUCAAAUACAAUUUUACUUAAACAGUUGUAAGUUAUAAAUUAAGUAACAUAGAGUGAUGUAUGAUAUAU